This 494-nucleotide ribosomal RNA is filed under the name uncultured bacterium. RNAcentral's name for it is "partial 16S ribosomal RNA". It matches the Rfam family "Bacterial small subunit ribosomal RNA", at positions 28 to 507 of the family's 1533-position model. The record is from RNAcentral.
GACGAACGCUGGCGGCGCGCUUAACACAUGCAAGUCGAACGGAAAGGCCUGCUUUCCCUUGUGGAUUGCGGGUACUCGAGUGGCGAACGGGUGAGUAACACGUGAGUGAUCUGCCCCCAACUUGGGUAUAAGCCUGGGAAACUGGGUCUAAUUCCCGAUAGGACUGCAGGGUGGUGCCUGUGGUGGAAAACGAUUUUCUAGUGGUUGGGGAUGAGCUCGCGGCCUAUCAGCUUGUUGGUGGGGUAAUGGCCUACCAAGGCGGCGACGGGUGGCCGGCCUGGGAGGGUGGACGGCCACAUUGGGACUGAGAUACGGCCCAGAAUCCUACGGGAGGCAGCAGUGGGGAAUAUGGCACAAUGGGCGGAAGCCUGAUGCAGCGACGCCGCGUGGGGGAUGACGGCCUUCGGGUUGUAAACUCCUGUCGGCCGCGAGGAAGCCACCUGGUUGGAAGGGUGGUGACGGUAGUGGUAGAAGAAGCACCGGCUAACUACGUG